CCUACGGGCGGCAGCAGUGGGGAAUAUUGGACAAUGGGCGAAAGCCUGAUCCAGCCAUGCCGCGUGUGUGAAGAAGGCCUUCGGGUUGUAAAGCACUUUCAGUGGGGAAGAAAGCCUUGGGGCUAAUACCCUCGAGGAAGGACAUCACCCACAGAAGAAGCACCGGCUAACUCCGUGCCAGCAGCCGCGGUAAUACGGAGGGUGCGAGCGUUAAUCGGAAUUACUGGGCGUAAAGCGCGCGUAGGCGGUCUGAUAAGCCGGUUGUGAAAGCCCCGGGCUCAACCUGGGAACGGCAUCCGGAACUGUCAGGCUAGAGUGCAGGAGAGGAAGGUAGAAUUCACGGUGUAGCGGUGAAAUGCGUAGAGAGCGGGAGGAAUACCAGUGGCGAAGGCGGCCUUCUGGACUGACACUGACGCUGAGGUGCGAAAGCGUGGGUAGCAAACAGGAUUAGAUACCCCUGUAGUC
This 465-nucleotide ribosomal RNA is filed under the name Vreelandella stevensii. RNAcentral describes it as "partial 16S ribosomal RNA". It matches the Rfam family "Bacterial small subunit ribosomal RNA", at positions 338 to 795 of the family's 1533-position model. The record is from RNAcentral. Lineage: Bacteria; Pseudomonadati; Pseudomonadota; Gammaproteobacteria; Oceanospirillales; Halomonadaceae.